Molecule: ribosomal RNA, 427 nt
Filed under: uncultured bacterium
Lineage: Bacteria
Description: bacterial SSU rRNA
Rfam family: Bacterial small subunit ribosomal RNA
Source: RNAcentral
UGGGGAAUUUUGGACAAUGGGCGCAAGCCUGAUCCAGCAAUGCCGCGUGCAGGAUGAAGGCCUUCGGGUUGUAAACUGCUUUUGUACGGAACGAAACGGCUCUGGUUAAUACCUGGGGCUAAUGACGGUACCGUAAGAAUAAGCACCGGCUAACUACGUGCCAGCAGCCGCGGUAAUACGUAGGGUGCAAGCGUUAAUCGGAAUUACUGGGCGUAAAGCGUGCGCAGGCGGUUAUGCAAGACAGAUGUGAAAUCCCCGGGCUUAACCUGGGAACUGCAUUUGUGACUGCAUAGCUAGAGUACGGUAGAGGGGGAUGGAAUUCCGCGCGUAGCAGUGAAAUGCGUAGAGAUGCGGAGGAACACCGAUGGCGAAGGCAGCCUCCUGGGCCAGUACUGACGCUCAUGCACGAAAGCGUGGGGAGCAAACA